Molecule: ribosomal RNA, 435 nt
Filed under: Marianina rosea
Lineage: Eukaryota; Metazoa; Mollusca; Gastropoda; Nudibranchia; Tritoniidae
Description: partial 16S ribosomal RNA
Rfam family: Archaeal large subunit ribosomal RNA
Source: RNAcentral
AGCUACAAGAUUUAAUUUGUGGUUAGACCUGCCCAGUGUUAGUAAAAUAAAUGGCCGCGGUACUCUGACCGUGCUAAGGUAGCGUAAUCAGUUGGCUUUUAAAUGGAGUCAGGAAUGAAUGGGGUAACUGGACUUUGCUGUCUCUAAUUUAGCCUUUGAAUUUACUAUAUAAGUGAAAAAGCUUAUAAAUUAAAAAGGGACGAGAAGACCCUUAGAAUUUUACUUAAUUAGAUAAUGUUUAAUAUGGUUUUAUUGGGGUGAUUAGGAAAUAUUUAUAACUUUCUUUUUUGAUAUAUAGCGGUUUUAUCAAGCGAGAAUAAAUUACCUGAGGGAUAACAGCAUUAUCUUUUAUUUGGGUUUGUGACCUCGAUGUUGGACUAGGGAAUUAUCAGGCUAGGCGCUUGUUAAGUUGGUUCUGUUCGAACUUUCAUUCCU